This 1011-nucleotide ribosomal RNA is filed under the name uncultured bacterium. RNAcentral's name for it is "bacterial SSU rRNA". It matches the Rfam family "Bacterial small subunit ribosomal RNA", at positions 506 to 1504 of the family's 1533-position model. The record is from RNAcentral.
AUUCAGCAGCCGCGGUAAUACAGAGGGUGCAAACGUUGUUCGGAAUCACUGGGCAUAAAGCGCACGUAGGCGGUUCGGUAAGUCAGAUGUGAAAGCCCCCGGCUCAACCGGGGAACUGCAUUUGAAACUGCCUGACUCGAGGACGGUAGGGGUGAGUGGAACUCCAGGUGGAGCGGUGAAAUGCGUAGAUAUCUGGAGGAACACCGGUGGCGAAAGCGGCUCACUGGACCGUAUCUGACGCUGAGGUGCGAAAGCUAGGGUAGCAAACGGGAUUAGAUACCCCGGUAGUCCUAGCCGUAAACGAUGGGCACUGGGUAGGGGAGAUACCUAUGGUCUUCUCUGCCGAAGCUAAUGUAUUAAGUGCCCCGCCUGGGGAGUACGCUCGCAAGAGUAAAACUCAAAGGAAUUGACGGGGGCUCACACAAGCGGUGGAGCAUGUGGUUUAAUUCGAAGCAACGCGAAGAACCUUACCUGGCCUUGACAUGCAUGGAUUAGCCCUGUGAAAGCAGGGUGACAGCUCUUCGGAGUCGGAACAUGUGCAGGUGUUGCAUGGCUGUCGUCAGCUCGUGUCGUGAGAUGUUGGGUUAAGUCCCGUAACGAGCGAAACCCUUAUUGUUAGUUGCCAGCGGGUAAUGCCGGGGACUCUAGCGAGACUGCCGUUGUCAAAACGGAGGAAGGUGGGGACGACGUCAAGUCAUCAUGGCCCUUAUGGCCAGGGCGACACACGUGCUACAAUGGUAUGUACAGAGGGAUCCGAAGCCGCGAGGUAGUGGAAAUCCCUUAAAGCAUGCCCCAGUUCGGAUUGCAGGCUGAAAUUCGCCUGCAUGAAGCCGGAAUCGCUAGUAAUCGCGUAUCAGCCAUGACGCGGUGAAUAUGUUCCUGAGCCUUGUACACACCGCCCGUCAAGCCACGAAAGCGGGGAGUGCUCGAAGUCGUAUUGUCCAACCUUCGGGAGGGCAGCGCCGAGAGCAAGCUCCGUGAUUGGGACUAAGUCGUAACAAGGUAACCAAU